GACGAACGCUGGCGGCGUGCUUAACACAUGCAAGUCGUACGGUAAGGCCCUUUCGGGGGUACGCGAGUGGCGAACGGGUGAGUAACACGUGAGUAACCUGCCCACAACUUUGGGAUAACGCAAGGAAACUGGUGCUAAUACUGGAUAUGUGCUCCUGCUGCAUGGUGGGGGUUGGAAAGCUCCGGCGGGUGUGGAUGGACUCGCGGCCUAUCAGCUUGCUGGUGGGGUAGUGGCCUACCAAGGCGGCGACGGGUAGCCGGCCUGGGAGGGUGACCGGCCACAUUGGGGCUGGGAUACGGCCCAGGCUCCUACGGGAGGCAGCAGUGGGGAAUAUUGGACAAUUGGCGCGAGCCUGGUGCAGCAACGCCGCGGGCGGGAUGACGGCCUUCGGGUUGUAAACCGCUUUCCGCAGGGACGAAGCUUUUUGUGACGGUACCUGCAGAAGAAGCACCGGCUAACUACGUG
RNAcentral lists this ribosomal RNA (465 nucleotides) under uncultured bacterium. RNAcentral's name for it is "partial 16S ribosomal RNA". It matches the Rfam family "Bacterial small subunit ribosomal RNA", at positions 28 to 507 of the family's 1533-position model. The record is from RNAcentral.